RNAcentral lists this ribosomal RNA (472 nucleotides) under Aerobryum speciosum. RNAcentral describes it as "eukaryotic LSU rRNA". The stretch from base 1 to 125 matches the Rfam family "5.8S ribosomal RNA", at positions 29 to 154 of the family's 154-position model. Lineage: Eukaryota; Viridiplantae; Streptophyta; Bryopsida; Hypnales; Brachytheciaceae. The record is from RNAcentral.
UGCAUCGAUGAAGAACGCAGCGAAAUGCGAUACGUAGUGUGAAUUGCAGAAUUCCGCGAAUCAUCGAGUCUUUGAACGCAAGUUGCGCCCGAGGCUUGUCCAAGGGCAUUUCCGCUAGAGCGUCACCGCGCCCCCCACCGAUCCGCUCCCGCCGCGAGGCGCCGUUCGGUUCGAGUGGAAGUGGCCGUCCCGGUUCGCGCGCGGCCUUCGCAAGAAGGCCUCGGGUAAGUGACGAGGGUCGGCUGAAAUGGAUGGAAUUGGGCCGCCGUGGUGACACAGUCCGCGAUCGGGUGAUUUUCCGCGAGCCUCCUCCGGGAGGGUCGCCGUGAAUUUUUCUAAGUGCGUGUCUGCGUCCCCCAGUUGGUUUCGGGUUACCUCGUGCAGGUCGUGCGCGCCCCCGCGGCGCGCGUCACGCAUCAGACCUCUAAUCGGAAAAGACUACCCGCUGAGUUUAAGCAUAUCAAUAAGCGGA